AGUGAACGCUGGCGGUAGGCCUAACACAUGCAAGUCGAACGGCAGCACGGGAGAGCUUGCUCUCUGGGUGGCGAGUGGCGGACGGGUGAGGAAUACAUCGGAAUCUACUCUGUCGUGGGGGAUAACGUAGGGAAACUUACGCUAAUACCGCAUACGACCCACGGGUGAAAGCAGGGGACCUUCGGGCCUUGCGCGAUUGAAUGAGCCGAUGUCGGAUUAGCUAGUUGGCGGGGUAAAGGCCCACCAAGGGAACGAUCCGUAGCUGGUCUGAGAGGAUGAUCAGCCACACUGGAACUGAGACACGGUCCAGACUCCUACGGGAGGCAGCAGUGGGGAAUAUUGGACAAUGGGCGCAAGCCUGAUCCAGCCAUACCGCGUGGGUGAAGAAGGCCUUCGGGUUGUAAAGCCCUUUUGUUGGGAGAGAAAUCCAGCUGGCUAAUACCCGGUUGGGAUGACGGUACCCAAAGAAUAAGCACCGGCUAACUUCGUGCCAGCCGCCGCGGUAA
This 506-nucleotide ribosomal RNA is filed under the name uncultured bacterium. Its description in RNAcentral is "partial 16S ribosomal RNA". It matches the Rfam family "Bacterial small subunit ribosomal RNA", at positions 29 to 523 of the family's 1533-position model. The record is from RNAcentral.